GAUGAACGCUGGCGGCGUGCUUAACACAUGCAAGUCGAACGAAGCACUUUAUUUGAUUUCCUUCGGGACUGAUUAUUUUGUGACUGAGUGGCGGACGGGUGAGUAACGCGUGGGUAACCUGCCUUGUACAGGGGGAUAACAGUUUGAAACGGCUGCUAAUACCGCAUAAGCGCACAGCAUCACAUGAUGCAUUGUGAAAAACUCCGAUGGUAUAAGAUGGACCCGCGUUGGAUUAGCUAGUUGGUGAGGUAACGGCCCACCAAGGCGACGAUCCAUAGCCGACCUGAGAGGGUGACCGGCCCCAUUGGGACUGAGACACGGCCCAAACUCCUAGGGGAGGCAGCAGUGGGGAAUAUUGCACAAUGGGCGAAAGCCUGAUGCAGCGACGCCGCGUGAGCGAAGAAGUAUUUCGGUAUGUAAAGCUCUAUCAGCAGGGAAGAUAAUGACGGUACCUGACUAAGAAGCAACGGCUAAAUACGUG
Molecule: ribosomal RNA, 481 nt
Filed under: uncultured bacterium
Lineage: Bacteria
Description: partial 16S ribosomal RNA
Rfam family: Bacterial small subunit ribosomal RNA
Source: RNAcentral